Molecule: long non-coding RNA, 160 nt
Organism: Hyaena hyaena (striped hyena)
Lineage: Eukaryota; Metazoa; Chordata; Mammalia; Carnivora; Hyaenidae
Exons: 3
Source: RefSeq, a predicted model, not a curated record
UGCCCAUUUCUCCAUAUCCUUUCCAACAUCUACUGUUUCCUGAGUUGUUCAUUUUAGCCACUCUAACCAGUGUGAGGUAGUUAUCUCAAUGUGGAUUUGAUUUGUAUUUCCCUGAUGAUGAAUGAUGUUGAGCAUUUUUUCAUCCAUCUGCUGGCCAUCU